GAGUUUGAUCCUGGCUCAGGACGAACGCUGGCGGCGUGCUUAACACAUGCAAGUCGAACGCUGAAGCCCUGCUUGCGGGGUGGAUGAGUGGCGAACGGGUGAGUAAGACGUGAGUAACCUGCCCUGGACUCUGGGAUAAGCCUGGGAAACCGGGUCUAAUACUGGAUACGACCCCUUGUCGCAUGGUGGGGGGUGGAAAGGGUUUUUCCGGUUGUGGAUGGGCUCACGGCCUAUCAGCUGGUUGGUGGGGUAAUGGCUCACCAAGGCGACGACGGGUAGCCGGCCUGAGAGGGUGGACGGCCACACUGGGACUGAGACACGGCCCAGACUCCUACGGGAGGCAGCAGUGGGGAAUAUUGCACAAUGGGCGCAAGCCUGAUGCAGCGACGCCGCGUGAGGGAUGACGGCCUUCGGGUUGUAAACCUCUUUCGGCGCGGAAGAAGCCGCCCUUCGGGGUGGUGACGGUACGCGCGGAAGAAGCGCCGGCUAACUACGUGCCAGCAGCCGCGGUAAUACGUAGGGCGCGAGCGUUGUCCGGAAUUAUUGGGCGUAAAGAGCUCGUAGGCGGCCUGCCGCGUCCGCUGUGAAAGCCCGGGGCUCAACCCCGGGUCGGCAGUGGGUACGGGCAGGCUGGAGGCAGUAGGGGAGACCGGAAUUCCUGGUGUAGCGGUGAAAUGCACAGAUAUCAGGAGGAACACCGAUGGCGAAGGCAGGUCUCUGGGCUGUUACUGACGCUGAGGAGCGAAAGCAUGGGGAGCGAACAGGAUUAGAUACCCUGGUAGUCCAUGCCGUAAACGUUGGGCACUAGGUGUGGGGGGCAUUCCACGUCCUCCGCGCCGUAGCUAACGCAUUAAGUGCCCCGCCUGGGGAGUACGGCCGCAAGGCUAAAACUCAAAGGAAUUGACGGGGGCCCGCACAAGCGGCGGAGCAUGCGGAUUAAUUCGAUGCAACGCGAAGAACCUUACCAAGGCUUGCCAUUCACCGGACCGCCCCGGAGACGGGGUCUCCCCUUUUGGGGGCCGGUGGACAGGUGGUGCAUGGUG
RNAcentral lists this ribosomal RNA (1043 nucleotides) under Kocuria sp. SK-80. RNAcentral's name for it is "bacterial SSU rRNA". It matches the Rfam family "Bacterial small subunit ribosomal RNA", at positions 9 to 1050 of the family's 1533-position model. The record is from RNAcentral. Lineage: Bacteria; Bacillati; Actinomycetota; Actinomycetes; Micrococcales; Micrococcaceae.